This is a long non-coding RNA of Sitophilus oryzae (rice weevil), 252 nucleotides long. RefSeq lists it as uncharacterized. NCBI's taxonomy places the organism in Eukaryota, Metazoa, Arthropoda, Insecta, Coleoptera, Curculionidae. The record is from RefSeq and is a predicted model, not a curated record. The transcript is spliced from 2 exons.
ACCACCUGACAUUUGAAUUUUGGAAUAUUUUUUAAUAGAUUUAAAAAAUGAGAAUUUUUUCAGUUCUUUUUAGAAGAAAACAUAUGCCACCAGGUCAUAUUUGGCGUGGUAAAAACAAGCUGUAUAAAGAAGUGAAGCAAGAAGAUGUUCAGCUUUUAAAGAACAAAUUUGAGAUUGAAGAGAAAAACAUGUUUUAUUUGAGGCAUUCUUUUAUAACACCAGAACAAUCUUCUGGACAUGCUAGAGCUUUAG